UGAAUACGAGACGCUAAGGCGUUGAAGUAGUGUAUGUCAUACUUCCAAGAAAAGCUUGCACUGUCAUAGAUAAAAAACGCCUGUACCAUAACCGACACAGGUGGGUAGGUAGAGUACUAAGGGGCGCGAGAUAACUCUCUCUAAGGAACUCGGCAAAAUAACUCCGUAACUUCGGGAGAAGGAGUGCCUUAUUUAUAAGGCUGCAAUAACAAGAUCCAAGCAACUGUUUAUCAAAAACACAGGUCUCCGCUAAGUCGUAAGACGAUGUAUGGGGGCUGACGCCUGCCCAGUGCCAGAAGGUUAAAGAAGUUGGCUAGCAAUAGCGAAGCUGAUAACUGAAGCCCUGGUGAACGGCGGCCGUAACUAUAACGGUCCUAAGGUAGCGAAAUUCCUUGUCGGGUAAGUUCCGACCCGCACGAAAGGCGUAAUGAUUUGGAUACUGUCUCGGAGAGGGGCUCGGUGAAAUAGACUUGUCUGUGAAGAUGCGGACUACCUGCACCAGGACAGAAAGACCCUAUGAAGCUUUACUGUAACUUGAAAUUGAAAUUGGACUUUAUUCGCGCAGUAUAGGUGGGAGGCGUUGAUUGUAAUCUUGCGGGAUUAUUGGAGCCAUCAGUGAGAUACCACCCUUGUAAUGUUAGAUUUCUAACUUUGAAUCAUUAUCUGGUCAAAGAACAGUUUCAGGCGGGCAGUUUGACUGGGGCGGUCGCCUCCUAAACGGUAACGGAGGCGUACAAAGGUUUCCUCUGAACGGUUAGAAAUCGUAUCUAGAGUGUAAAGGCAUAAGGAAGCUUGACUGUGAGACCUACAAGUCGAGCAGGGACGAAAGUCGGUCUUAGUGAUCUGACGGUACUGAGUGGAAAGGCCGUCACUCAACGGAUAAAAGUUACUCUAGGAUAACAGGCUGAUCUCCCCCAAGAGUUCACAUCGACGGGGAGGUUUGGCACCUCGAUGUCGGCUCAUCGCAUCCUGGGGCGGUAGUACGUCCCAAGGGUUGGGCUGUUCGCCCAUGAAAGCGGUACGCGAGCUGGGUUCAGAACGUCGUGAGACAGUUCGGUCCAUAUCCGGUGUAGGCGUUAGAAUAUUGAGAGGAGCCUUCUUUAGUACGAGAGGACCGAGAAGGACAUACCUCUGGUGUACCAGUUAUCGUGCCAACGGUAAACGCUGGGUAGCUAUGUAUGGGGUGGAUAACCGCUGAAAGCAUCUAAGCGGGAAACCCACCUCGAAACGAGUUCUCCCAUGAGAGCCGUGGAAGACCACCACGUUGAUAGGCCGGGUGUGGAAGCGCAGCAAUGCG
This 1297-nucleotide ribosomal RNA is filed under the name metagenome. RNAcentral describes it as "bacterial LSU rRNA". It matches the Rfam family "Bacterial large subunit ribosomal RNA", at positions 1564 to 2885 of the family's 2925-position model. The record is from RNAcentral.